AAAGACUAAGAAUAUUUCAAAAUGAAGUUGUCUCAGUUAGGGGACAAUGAGGAAGAGGAAGAAGAAGAAACUUGUGUUGCUUUGUUGGCAAAGAGACAAAUACAAAAGAAGAAGUGGAUUACACAUCAGUGUCCUUCUGAGAAAAACUGGGGACUCACUAUCACACAACUGUCACUGUUCAGUCAGUUGGUAAAACAUGGCGAGGUUUGUCCAUCGAGAGCAAUCGGAGAUCACUGACUAUGUAAAUCUACCUGAACCAUCAGCCAGGAGUGCUGGCCAGGACGGGGGAGCGACUGCUGCCGGGUCUGGUGGAAAACUGUACAGAGCUGUUGCUGUGAGCUUUGGACUGCUGUGUAUCCUACAAGCUGCUCUCAACAUUUCGCUGCGUCUCUACACCUUUUACAGUAAGACACCAGACAUAGCGCUCAGUUGCACAAACCUGACUGGUGUUCUGAGGAGAGAACUCAUUACCUUCGACUUCCGUACUGAUGUCACAACUAUACUUUAAUUAGAUCGCUUUUCCCAAGAAGGAUGGGUGUAUUUCCGUCGCAGUUUCUAUUACAUUUCCACUAAUCAGACAUCCUGGCACAAAGGCAGAGCUGACUGUCUGCAGAGAGAAGCAGACCUGGUGAUUAUCAACAGCAAACAAGAGCAGGAUUUCACAAGACAAUUCAAUAAGGUCUCAUGGAUUGGACUGACCCCCAAAUUAACCAACGGGAAGUGGAAAUGGGUGGAUGACACUCCGCUGACCGAAAGCUACUGGAGCCCUGGGGAGCCAAAUGGUUUUGAAGGCAAAGAUGAAGACUGUAGAAACAAGGUUCCUUGAUAUGGAGAACAGCUGGAAUGAUAUACCAUGUACUGAUCAAAACUUCUGGAUCUGUGAGAAGAUGAUAGCUUUAUAACACAGCAUAUAAAACCCUGAAAAAUGUUUAAUCUGGAUCCACAAAUUCACAUAUCACACAACGAUAUAGGUCAUUUAUUCCUACCCUUUUAAACGCAACACUCGCAGUUUGAAACUUGUCGUUAAUAUUAUGACACAUGGGGCGGCCUCUAGCUCAUCCGGUAAGGACGUGCGCCCCAUGUAGGCUGAGUCCUUUGCAUCGGUCCGGGUUUGAAUCCAACCUGUGG
Perca fluviatilis (European perch) is the source of this 1128-nucleotide RNA transcript. It is a transcript of the gene named hepatic lectin-like, with no coding region annotated. The transcript has 7 exons. The record is from RefSeq and is a predicted model, not a curated record. Lineage: Eukaryota; Metazoa; Chordata; Actinopteri; Perciformes; Percidae.